ACACUCGUGUUUUUCUUCAAAUCGCAUAAAACUUUUGCCUUUUACUAAAGGUUUCCAAUGAGAGGAGCAACAUAAGUUUCAACUAUUUAUUUGUAUGUGGGGAGUGGUGGCACAG
Molecule: small nuclear RNA, 115 nt
Organism: Nematolebias whitei (Rio pearlfish)
Lineage: Eukaryota; Metazoa; Chordata; Actinopteri; Cyprinodontiformes; Rivulidae
Product: U5 spliceosomal RNA
Exons: 1
Source: RefSeq, a predicted model, not a curated record